GGGUUGUGAGGUUAAGCGACUAAGCGUACACGGUGGAUGCCCUGGCAGUCAGAGGCGAUGAAGGGCGUGCUAAUCUGCGAUAAGCGCCGGUAAGGUGAUAUGAACCGUUAUAACCGGCGAUACCCGAAUGGGGAAACCCAGUGUGAUUCGUCACACUAUCAUUAACUGAAUCCAUAGGUUAAUGAGGCGAACCGGGGGAACUGAAACAUCUAAGUACCCCGAGGAAAAGAAAUCAACCGAGAUUCCCCCAGUAGCGGCGAGCGAACGGGGAGGAGCCCAGAGCCUGAAUCAGCAUGUGUGUUAGUGGAAGCGUCUGGAAAGGCGCGCGAUACAGGGUGACAGCCCCGUACACAAAAGCGCAUGUGCUGUGAGCUCGAUGAGUAGGGCGGGACACGUGGUAUCCUGUCUGAAUAUGGGGGGACCAUCCUCCAAGGCUAAAUACUCCUGACUGACCGAUAGUGAACCAGUACCGUGAGGGAAAGGCGAAAAGAACCCCGGCGAGGGGAGUGAAAAAGAACCUGAAACCGUGUACGUACAAGCAGUGGGAGNNNNNNNNNNNNNNNNNNNNNNNNNNNNNNNNGUAUAAUGGGUCAGCGACUUAUAUUCUGUAGCAAGGUUAACCGAAUAGGGGAGCCGGAGGGAAACCGAGUCUUAAUUGGGCGUUAAGUUGCAGGGUAUAGACCCGAAACCCGGUGAUCUAGCCAUGGGCAGGUUGAAGGUUGGGUAACACUAACUGGAGGACCGAACCGACUAAUGUUGAAAAAUUAGCGGAUGACCUGUGGCUGGGGGUGAAAGGCCAAUCAAACCGGGAGAUAGCUGGUUCUCCCCGAAAGCUAUUUAGGUAGCGCCUCGUGAAUUCAUCUCCGGGGGUAGAGCACUGUUUCGGCUAGGGGGCCAUCCCGGCUUACCAACCCGAUGCAAACUGCGAAUACCGGAGAAUGUUAUCACGGGAGACACACGGCGGGUGCUAACGUCCGUCGUGAAGAGGGAAACAACCCAGACCGCCAGCUAAGGUCCCAAAGUCAUGGUUAAGUGGGAAACGAUGUGGGAAGGCCCAGACAGCCAGGAUGUUGGCUUAGAAGCAGCCAUCAUUUAAAGAAAGCGUAAUAGCUCACUGGUCGAGUCGGCCUGCGCGGAAGAUGUAACGGGGCUAAACCAUGCACCGAAGCUGCGGCAGCGACACUGUGUGUUGUUGGGUAGGGGAGCGUUCUGUAAGCCUGUGAAGGUGUGUCGUGAGGCAUGCUGGAGGUAUCAGAAGUGCGAAUGCUGACAUAAGUAACGAUAAAGCGGGUGAAAAGCCCGCUCGCCGGAAGACCAAGGGUUCCUGUCCAACGUUAAUCGGGGCAGGGUGAGUCGACCCCUAAGGCGAGGCCGAAAGGCGUAGUCGAUGGGAAACGGGUUAAUAUUCCCGUACUUGGUGUUACUGCGAAGGGGGGACGGAGAAGGCUAUGUUGGCCGGGCGACGGUUGUCCCGGUUUAAGCGUGUAGGUGUGUGUUCCAGGUAAAUCCGGUUCACUUUAACACUGAGGCGUGACGACGAGGCACUACGGUGCUGAAGCAACAAAUGCCCUGCUUCCAGGAAAAGCCUCUAAGCAUCAGGUAACAUCAAAUCGUACCCCAAACCGACACAGGUGGUCAGGUAGAGAAUACCAAGGCGCUUGAGAGAACUCGGGUGAAGGAACUAGGCAAAAUGGUGCCGUAACUUCGGGAGAAGGCACGCUGACACGUAGGUGAAGUGAUUUACUCAUGGAGCUGAAGUCAGUCGAAGAUACCAGCUGGCUGCAACUGUUUAUUAAAAACACAGCACUGUGCAAACACGAAAGUGGACGUAUACGGUGUGACGCCUGCCCGGUGCCGGAAGGUUAAUUGAUGGGGUCAGCGCAAGCGAAGCUCCUGAUCGAAGCCCCGGUAAACGGCGGCCGUAACUAUAACGGUCCUAAGGUAGCGAAAUUCCUUGUCGGGUAAGUUCCGACCUGCACGAAUGGCGUAAUGAUGGCCAGGCUGUCUCCACCCGAGACUCAGUGAAAUUGAACUCGCUGUGAAGAUGCAGUGUACCCGCGGCAAGACGGAAAGACCCCGUGAACCUUUACUAUAGCUUGACACUGAACAUUGAGCCUUGAUGUGUAGGAUAGGUGGGAGGCUUUGAAGUGUGGACGCCAGUCUGCAUGGAGCCGACCUUGAAAUACCACCCUUUAAUGUUUGAUGUUCUAACGUGGACCCGUUACCCGGGUUGCGGACAGUGUCUGGUGGGUAGUUUGACUGGGGCGGUCUCCUCCUAAAGAGUAACGGAGGAGCACGAAGGUUGGCUAAUCCUGGUCGGACAUCAGGAGGUUAGUGCAAUGGCAUAAGCCAGCUUGACUGCGAGCGUGACGGCGCGAGCAGGUGCGAAAGCAGGUCAUAGUGAUCCGGUGGUUCUGAAUGGAAGGGCCAUCGCUCAACGGAUAAAAGGUACUCCGGGGAUAACAGGCUGAUACCGCCCAAGAGUUCAUAUCGACGGCGGUGUUUGGCACCUCGAUGUCGGCUCAUCACAUCCUGGGGCUGAAGUAGGUCCCAAGGGUAUGGCUGUUCGCCAUUUAAAGUGGUACGCGAGCUGGGUUUAGAACGUCGUGAGACAGUUCGGUCCCUAUCUGCCGUGGGCGCUGGAGAACUGAGGGGGGCUGCUCCUAGUACGAGAGGACCGGAGUGGACGCAUCACUGGUGUUCGGGUUGUCAUGCCAAUGGCACUGCCCGGUAGCUAAAUGCGGAAGAGAUAAGUGCUGAAAGCAUCUAAGCACGAAACUUGCCCCGAGAUGAGUUCUCCCUGAGACUUAGAGUCUCCUGAAGGAACGUUGAAGACGACGACGUUGAUAGGCCGGGUGUGUAAGCGCAGCGAUGCGUUGAGCUAACCGGUACUAAUGAACCGUGAGGCUUAACCUUACAACGCCGAAG
This 2928-nucleotide ribosomal RNA is filed under the name Salmonella enterica subsp. enterica serovar Enteritidis str. EC20122033. RNAcentral describes it as "bacterial LSU rRNA". It matches the Rfam family "Bacterial large subunit ribosomal RNA". Lineage: Bacteria; Pseudomonadati; Pseudomonadota; Gammaproteobacteria; Enterobacterales; Enterobacteriaceae. The record is from RNAcentral.